AUGCCUGGGUAAAUCGUAUAGCUCAACUAUACGAAUUCUGGGUAGACUGUCAAGCUUGAGACCGGGAGAGGCUAGAGGUACUCCUGGGGUAGAGGUGAAAUUCUGUAAUCCUAGGGGGACCACCAGUGGCGAAGGCGUCUAGCUAGAACGGGUCUGACGGUCAGGGACGAAGCCCUGGGGCGCGAACCGGAUUAGAUACCCGGGUAGUCCAGGGUGUAAACGCUGCUUGCUUGAUGUUAGUUGGGCUCCGAGCCCAAUUAGUGUCGGAGAGAAGUUGUUAAGCAAGCUGCCUGGGAAGUACGGUCGCAAGACUGAAACUUAAAGGAAUUGGUGGGGGAGCACAGCAACGGGUGGAGCGUGCGGUUUAAUUGGAUUCAACGCCGGAAAACUCACCGGAGGCGACGGUUACAUGAAGGCCAGGCUGAUGACCUUGCCUGAUUUUCCGAGAGGUGGUGCAUGGCCGCCGUCAGUUCGUACCGUAAGGCGUUCUGUUAAGUCAGAUAACGAACGAGACCCUCAUCUUUAAUUGCUACUAGUAAGUCCGCUUACUGGGCACAUUAGAGGGACCGCUGGCGAUAAGUCAGAGGAAGGCGGGGGCAACGGUAGGUCAGUAUGCCCUGAAUCCUCCGGGCUACACGCGCGCUACAAAGGCUAGGACAAUGAGUUUCGACACCGAGAGGUGAAGGUAAUCUCGAAACCUAGUUAUAGUUCGGAUUGAGGGUUGAAACUCACCCUCAUGAAGCUGGAAUCCGUAGU
This 756-nucleotide ribosomal RNA is filed under the name uncultured euryarchaeote. Its description in RNAcentral is "bacterial SSU rRNA". It matches the Rfam family "Archaeal small subunit ribosomal RNA", at positions 537 to 1295 of the family's 1478-position model. Lineage: Archaea; Methanobacteriati; Methanobacteriota. The record is from RNAcentral.